GUACUUCGACGGUUGGCAUCCCAAAUGGCUGUUGUGCUUUAAGGCAAGGACAAGCCAACCUAUGCGUCUCAUGUGGAAGCUGGAGACACGUGUAUCGUUCUUAAUGCAAAAGAUAUUUGUGUUACAGGAAGAAAAAUGACUGACAAAAUUUACUACUGGCACGCGGGGUAUAUUGGCCACCUGAAGGAAAGAAAGCUCAAGGACCAGAUGGCAAAAGACCCAACUGAAGUGAUCCGUAAAGUUGUCAUGUGCAUGCUCCCCCACAACAAAUUGUGUGAUGAUAGGGAUCACAAGCUGAGGAUAUUUGCUGAAGGCGAGCAUCCAUUUCAUGACCGGCCUCUCAAACCUGUCAUGCCGCCACGCAAAGUACGUGAGAUGCACCCCCGGGCAAGACGUGCGAUGAUAAGGACACAAAAGAAAGAUCAGGACAGGGAAGCUAAGAAAGCCGAGGGGGAAGCAACUAAAAAUGGAAAAGCUGCGGUCGCUGCAUAUGUCACCUUCAGAUGUGCGUGGACUAUGGAGAGACCUAUGAUUUGCGCCAAUGGAUCUACCCGAUGCAUUUUUUGGAUGAUGAUGUACCUCUUAUCCCUUUGA
This 594-nucleotide ribosomal RNA is filed under the name Triticum aestivum (bread wheat). RNAcentral's name for it is "partial small subunit ribosomal RNA". The record is from RNAcentral. Lineage: Eukaryota; Viridiplantae; Streptophyta; Magnoliopsida; Poales; Poaceae.